Molecule: ribosomal RNA, 794 nt
Filed under: uncultured Thermococcus sp.
Lineage: Archaea; Methanobacteriati; Methanobacteriota; Thermococci; Thermococcales; Thermococcaceae
Description: bacterial SSU rRNA
Rfam family: Archaeal small subunit ribosomal RNA
Source: RNAcentral
ACGGCUCAGUAACACGUCGGUAACCUACCCUCGGGAGGGGGAUAACCCCGGGAAACUGGGGCUAAUUCCCCAUAGGCCUGGGGUACUGGAAGGUCCUCAGGCCGAAAGGGACUUAUGUCCGCCCGAGGAUGGGCCGGCGGCCGAUUAGGUAGUUGGUGGGGUAAUGGCCCACCAAGCCGAAGAUCGGUACGGGCUGUGAGAGCUGGAGCCCGGAGAUGGACACUGAGACACGGGUCCAGGCCCUACGGGGCGCAGCAGGCGCGAAACCUCCGCAAUGCGGGAAACCGCGACGGGGGGACCCCGAGUGCCGUGGCAACGCCACGGCUUUUCCGGAGUGUAAAAAGCUCCGGGAAUAAGGGCUGGGCAAGGCCGGUGGCAGCCGCCGCGGUAAUACCGGCGGCCCGAGUGGUGGCCGCUAUUAUUGGGCCUAAAGCGUCCGUAGCCGGGCCCGUAAGUCCCUGGCGAAAUCCCACGGCUCAACCGUGGGGCUUGCUGGGGAUACUGCGGGUCUUGGGACCGGGAGAGGCGGGGGGUACCCCUGGGGUAGGGGUGAAAUCCUAUAAUCCCAGGGGGACCGCCAGUGGCGAAGGCGCCCCGCUGGAACGGGUCCGACGGUGAGGGACGAAGGCCAGGGGAGCAAACCGGAUUAGAUACCCGGGUAGUCCUGGCUGUAAAGGAUGCGGGCUAGGUGUCGGGUGAGCCUCGAGCUCGCCCGGUGCCGUAGGGAAGCCGUUAAGUCCGCCGCCUGGGGAGUACGGCCGCAAGGCUGAAACUUAAAGGAAUUGGCGGGGGAG